UUAGUCUCAAAGGUGCCACAGGACCCUCUGUUGCUUUUUACAGAUUCAGACUAACACGGCUACCCCUCUGAAACAAAGAACAGUCAGACUGAAAUAACGCAAUGAGGGCAAUAGCAGACUGAUCUAAAGAAAAAGGAUCUGGAACUACAAGGCUUGCAGCUUCUAAUUCCUAAUGGGAAACACUCCGAUGUUGCAGUUCAAAUAAACCCUCCAAAGUCUGGAAGGUUAUUGCAAUUUACUGGAGGUGCUUGGAUCUGGUUUUUUGACAAGAAAUUUUUCUUGUGGAAUUUCUACUAUUUCCUACUUUAACCUAUUUGAUAUACCCCCUAGGAGAAGUUUUUUGUUGUAGUAUUAUGCUGUUUCUUUCUGUUCUUAUGUCCCAGACUUCCUGUGUGACCUUGGUCAAUUCACUAAGGGUAUCCCUACGCUGCAGCUGGAGGAGUGAUUGCAGCACAUAUAGACGUACCUGAGCUAGCUUUAAUCUAGCUAGUUCAAGUUCUGAGAGCAGUGAAGCCGUGGUGGCUGUAUGAGCCCACCCAGGACCCUGGCUGUGUACUCUGGCGGUGGUGACUAGCCUGUGCUUUAGUCCAUGUUGUCACAGCUUCACUGCUAUUGGUAUCCAAGCUAGCUAGAUUAAAACUAGCUCUGGUAUGGCUACAGAUCCUGCAGUCACACCUCUGGUUCAGUGGCUUUGGCCUCUCUGUGACUCCAUUCCCAGCCUGUACAAUGAGGAUAAUAGUACUUCCCUACCUUACAGCGGUGCUGUGAGGAGAAAUACAUUGAGAGAGCCUCCAUACUGCAGGACUGGGGGCCAUGUAAAUACAUAAGAUGGGUAGGUGGAGCUUCAUAUUUAGUUCCCUGCUGUAUUGUAGGUUUUUCUCCUGUUGUGUUUACUUUGAGUUCAGGUUUGUACAACCUGCAAAAACUCAGUGGCAUUCACCCCAAAUCCCUGCAUUUCACCCUGGUUUUGGGCCCAAAACCAUGAAAAGUCCCAGUGUGCUGCAGGAUAGUUUGACCUGAAAUGAUAACUUGGUCCCUAGUGCUUUGGAAAGCUAAUCCAAAAUCAGUGGUUUGCUGUGAACGUGUUGCACAAUUUUAAUGCUUUUAAGAAUGAAAUUGUCUUUGGUAAACUAAUAGAGUUCUUUCAAAUCUCAAAAGGGGAAGAUUCACGUGAAGAGUUGUCCAUUCCCUGGUCCGGUCUGCACACCUAGAUACCAGAAUGUGAAAAACAGCUAAAAGGAUUCUGGAGGUGUUUGGAAAAAAGUGAACAAACCGUAAGGCAGAGACCAAGCAUGCAGCCCCCAAAACAAUCAACCUUCAGGCGUGAAUUAAAAGCUCCAGGACUGCGUGAAAUCUGGAUUACAGUCUGUGACUCUUGCCUAGCUGCACUAAUGGAACUGAAUUCGUGGCUCAGAAAUGAAGAUUUUAUUUGGGAUGUUUGUGGUAAAUAGAAAUUGCCUGUCUGCCACAGCUGUAUUUAAGGCAUAGGCACCAAAGGCCAGUGCCUAGGACCCCAUCUCUUGGAGUUGCAUAAUGAGAUCAGGAUAUUGGCUUUCAUUUUAAGAAGUUUCUGGCCCACAUGGAUGCAAAGAGAAGCUUGAAAAUGUGAAUGGAGUGAACUAAUGGUUGUCGGAGUCUGCAUGUGGCCUGAAACAAUAACUCAGAAAGGCCUCAACUGAAAUAGCUGCCACCCUAUGGAAGGAUGGGGCCAUAGAGUUGAAACAGAGACAUGGUGUGGGGGGUCAAGACAUGGGGGACCCAUGUGGACUUUGCCUGUGGUGCCAGAUAGAUAUGAAGUCUUUCCGCACCUCUAGCUUGUCUGUCUAUGGACUCCAUUUUGCUUCUGUAAAAUCUUCAAAUUGAGUGACCAGAACAGAACACGGUAUGUCAGUUACCAAUACUUCAGUAUCAACCAUGGGAACAGCUAUGGGUACUGGAUGGCUCUCCAAUAUGCCAACCUCUUCAAGGGCCGUCUUGAGGAAGAAUUUCUGGACCAAUGCACCACAAAACCAAUGAUAUACGUUGAUAUUUUCAUCCUUGAGACGGGCCACCUAAACUCCCGCAUAGAUUUCCACCACAACUUCAACCACCAGAAUCCAUCCAUCUAACUCUCUCUCGUAUACGCCCACACCAGAAUCAACUUCCUGGACAACAUGGUGGGCUUCAAUAAUAGAACCCUGCAGACAACUAUAUAUGAGACACCCAUGGAUCACCACACCUACCUUCACAGACCCAGUAACCUCCCCAAAAACUCCAAGAAAUCUUCUCUAUAGCCAGGCCCUUAGAUACCACACAAUGUGCUCCAAGGAGAAACUCCGGGAUCCAUUUCUUAACACUUAAAACCACCUUCACCAAACAAGGACAUUCCCUCCAGAAGAGUAGAUCACAUCAUGGAACAGGACACCUAAAUACCACCAGCACACCUGUAUCAAUACAGGGGAAAACCCUCUGACUGAACACUCCUAGUUGUCACCUUCCACAUCACACUGGAACCUAUCCGAGGUAUCAUUAAACAAUUACAACCCAUACUAGAUGGGGACCACAUCCUGAAAGAAAUCUUUCCUAAACCCCCUCUUCUGGCCUCAAAACACUGCCAACCUUUCCAACAUAGCAGCAGUAACACACUCCCUAGAGACCUGGAGCCACCAACUCAAAGCAGCACCAGACUCUGCCAGAAUCACUGAUAUAAAAUCUGCAGAUGCUGAUCAAUAUCCCCCACAACACACCUUGCAAGAUCCAUGCCAUGCCUAUCACAAUAUGUGAUGUACCUCAUCUAGUGUACUCUAAAUGCCCCAAUAAAAACCAUGACUGAACAUAGUGAUCGUCUGGUUUCUUGAAGGAGUUCACACAGAAAUGUGAUAGAAGAAGAAAACCAUGCCGCCUGCAUGCAGAUGCUUUUCACAAAACAAUUGCUCCGUAUCUGACCUCUCAAUCCUCAUCCUCAAAGAAAACCUGCACACUACCUUCAGUAGAUGAGCCUGGGAGCUUAAAUUCACAACUUUGCUAGACAUUAAAAAUCAUGGUCUUCAUAAACACUGGAUUUAUGGCUUAUUAUAGCAAUCUGUAACCCACCAACCCUUCUCUUUUUGUCCUAUGGCUGCAGGGGUGUGAAUGUCCCUUAGAGUAUGUGUCAAAUACGUAUGCUAAACCUUGUAAUUAGCUGUGAUGCUCUGAGUACCUUUCCCAGACCUGAAGAAAAGCUCUGUGGAGCUUGAAAGCUUGUCUCUUUCAUCAAGAGAAGUUGGUUCAAUAAAAGAUAUUACCUCACCCACCUUGUCUCUCUGUUACCAGUACAGUGCUGUUCAUGGUAACCAUUCUUCCUAGACUUUGUAUUCAUGUUAUUCUUAACGGACAGAACAGGGUAUAUGUACAGAAUAGAACAAUGCAAUCUAAAAUUAGUUAAUUCUUGCUCUCAAAUAUUGCGAUGAUAAAGAAAUUACAAAGCAAAGAUUUAAAUUUCUUUGUUUGAAUCUUA
Malaclemys terrapin pileata is the source of this 3475-nucleotide long non-coding RNA. RefSeq lists it as uncharacterized. The record is from RefSeq and is a predicted model, not a curated record. Lineage: Eukaryota; Metazoa; Chordata; Testudines; Emydidae. The transcript has 5 exons.